RNAcentral lists this long non-coding RNA (1113 nucleotides) under Serinus canaria (Common canary). Its description in RNAcentral is "lncRNA (ENSSCAG00000012939.1)". Lineage: Eukaryota; Metazoa; Chordata; Aves; Passeriformes; Fringillidae. The record is from RNAcentral.
AUGUCACCCAUGGCCAGGAAAAGGGCUCUGGUGGCUUCUCCAUGUCCGAGUGGGAGCUGGGGGCUCGGGAAAUGUACAGAGCCAGUCAGGAGUCGCAGUGACACGGGAUGGGGACACCAGGGGAGCUGCCCCUGCUCUGCCACCCUCCUGUGCCACAGCCCCGGGGCUCGUCCAUGCCCGUCCCAGGGGAUGGGGUUUGCUGCAGCUCCUCAGGCACCAUCAGCUGCUCUGCAGCCCCAAACAGCCCAAAUUCUGCCUCCAGCAGGAGCCGGCUCCAUCCCAGCAGCGCCAGGGCAGUUUCCCAUCACACACCUGCCGAGAGCAAGGAGAAUUCUCUUGAAAGCUCCAACCACUCUGAACGGGGCACCACCAGACCCUGCCCUGCCGGCAGGGGACACCGGGAGCUGGCAAAGGGCCCCGAGGGGUUUGAGAGCCAGAGGCAGCGCUCCCACCGGGAAUCCCCGGUGGCUCAGAGCCCUUCCCAGCCCUGCCCCGUGGCCCACAUUCCUCCCACUGAGAACAAGCAGCCCCGGAGGAUGGCAGAAACAAGUGACUGUAAUUAGAAAUGGGGGCUCAGGGCUGGCUGAGCCCGCAGGGACCCUGCCCUGCUUUGUAGGAGCACAAAUCCCUUGGGAUGCCCGGGGCCGCUGCUGGGCCCGACGCUGCUCCGCAGGGAUGUGCCCGCCUGUGCUGGCACACUCGGAGCUGAGCCGAGCCCAUUCCCAGCUCCCACGGGUGAUGCUGUCCCAGGAAGACAGCUGGGUCCAUCUCUGCUCCCACCCAUCCCACUCUUGCUCAGGGAUUCACCUCAGUGGCAGCUCCAUGCCUGGGGGCUCCCAUGGCACGGGGAUGCUCUUCCCUGGAACCAUCCCUGCCCUCCCUUCCUGGCGGACACAGCAGGGCCCACGGGGAAUGAGGAGGAAUGGGAACCCCCUCUCCAGGCCUGGGGCAAGCCCACCCACACCCCAGCCCAUGUCCCCCUUCACCCCACCCAGCAUCCAGGGCCACCCUGCUCCUGGUUCCAGAGACAGAUGCCUGGCAGAUCCUUGGAACCACCCGGCAGGGAUUGAAAAACAUAAAUUAAAACAAAUUGCAGUUUUAUAUUGCAAAUAA